GAAAUAUAAAAAUUAAGCUUCUAACUUAAUGUUUAGCAUUAAUAUGUUAAUAUUUCU
RNAcentral lists this transfer RNA (57 nucleotides) under Anisosticta novemdecimpunctata (water ladybird). Its description in RNAcentral is "tRNA-Ser". The record is from RNAcentral. Lineage: Eukaryota; Metazoa; Arthropoda; Insecta; Coleoptera; Coccinellidae.